RNAcentral lists this ribosomal RNA (301 nucleotides) under uncultured bacterium. RNAcentral's name for it is "partial 16S ribosomal RNA". It matches the Rfam family "Bacterial small subunit ribosomal RNA", at positions 509 to 807 of the family's 1533-position model. The record is from RNAcentral.
CAGCCGCCGCGGUAAUACGGAGGGUGCAAGCGUUAAUCGGAAUUACUGGGCGUAAAGCGCACGCAGGCGGUCUGACAAGUCAGAUGUGAAAUCCCCGGGCUUAACCUGGGAACUGCAUUUGAAACUGUCAGGCUGGAGUCUUGUAGAGGGGGGUAGAAUUUCAGGUGUAGCGGUGAAAUGCGUAGAGAUCUGGAGGAAUACCGGUGGCGAAGGCGGCCCCCUGGACAAAGACUGACGCUCAGGUGCGAAAGCGUGGGGAGCAAACAGGAUUAGAUACCCCUGUAGUCCCUGUCUCUUAUAC